RNAcentral lists this ribosomal RNA (494 nucleotides) under uncultured bacterium. RNAcentral describes it as "partial 16S ribosomal RNA". It matches the Rfam family "Bacterial small subunit ribosomal RNA", at positions 28 to 507 of the family's 1533-position model. The record is from RNAcentral.
GACGAACGCUGGCGGCGCGCUUAACACAUGCAAGUCGAACGGUGAAGCGCCUUCCUUUUUGGUGGGUGUGGAUGAGUGGCGAACGGGUGAGUAACACGUGAGUAACCUGCCCCCUUCUUCUGGAUAACCGCAUGAAAGUGUGGCUAAUACGGGAUAUUCUGGGUCUGUCGCAUGAUGGGUCUGGGAAAGAUAUUGUUUCGGUGGGGGAUGGGCUCGCGGCCUAUCAGCUUGUUGGUGGGGUGAUGGCCUACCAAGGCGGUGACGGGUAGCCGGCCUGAGAGGGUGGACGGUCACAAUGGGACUGAGACACGGCCCAGACUCCUACGGGAGGCAGCAGUGGGGUAUAUUGCACAAUGGGCGCAAGCCUGAUGCAGCGACGCCGCGUGAGGGAUGGAGGCCUGCGGGUUGUGAACCUCUUUCGCCAGUGAAGCAGGCCUGCCUCGUUUGUGGGUGGGUUGACGGUAGCUGGAUAAGAAGCGCCGGCUAACUACGUG